AUGAACGCUGGCGGCGUGCCUAAUACAUGCAAGUCGCGCGAACAGACGAGGAGCUUGCUCCUCUGACGUUAGCGGCGGACGGGUGAGUAACACGUGGAUAACCUACCUAUAAGACUGGGAUAACUUCGGGAAACCGGAGCUAAUACCGGAUAAUAUAUUGAACCGCAUGGUUCAGUAGUGAAAGACGGUUUUGCUGUCACUUAUAGAUGGAUCCGCGCCGCAUUAGCUAGUUGGUAAGGUAACGGCUUACCAAGGCAACGAUGCGUAGCCGACCUGAGAGGGUGAUCGGCCACACUGGAACUGAGACACGGUCCAGACUCCUACGGGAGGCAGCAGUAGGGAAUCUUCCGCAAUGGGCGAAAGCUUGACGGAGCAACGCCGCGUGAGUGAUGAAGGUCUUCGGAUCGUAAAACUCUGUUAUUAGGGAAGAACAAAUGUGUAAGUAACUAUGCACGUCUUGACGGUACCUAAUCAGAAAGCCACGGCUAACUACGUG
RNAcentral lists this ribosomal RNA (496 nucleotides) under uncultured bacterium. RNAcentral describes it as "partial 16S ribosomal RNA". It matches the Rfam family "Bacterial small subunit ribosomal RNA", at positions 29 to 507 of the family's 1533-position model. The record is from RNAcentral.